This 618-nucleotide long non-coding RNA is filed under the name Phoenix dactylifera (date palm). Its description in RNAcentral is "long non-coding RNA (PDAC_LNC014991)". Lineage: Eukaryota; Viridiplantae; Streptophyta; Magnoliopsida; Arecales; Arecaceae. The record is from RNAcentral.
GGCUGCAGACGAGGCGGAGGACGCAGCGGCGGCUGCAGGCUUGCGACGACCGACACGAUGGCGGGUGGAUCCUGCUAGUCUGUGGUGGCCGGCGGUUGUGUCGUUGGGUUCGAGGGACAAGGCCGCAAGAAGGACGGCGACGCUCUUCUUCUUUCCGGCAACGGGAACCACUCGUGGCCCGUCGACAUGCUCCGGUGUCCGUGGUCGGGGCACCGCGUAGAGCUCGUGCGCCAAUGGAAUCCGGGGAUCCGGCGAUCCUCGGCCAUACACCGAUGGCUGCCGGUGGUGGAGGCAGUGGACGCGAUGAUGGGUGGACGGGGAAACCGAGGGAUUCUUCUUUUCCUUCUUCUAUUUUGAAACCGAGGGGUUGUUCCCCUCUGUCCCUUCUUGUGAGAACCGAGAGAGGAUAGGGAGAGUGAGGGACCCCUUAUUUUUCUGGUGAGCAGAACUGACAAAGGAAAGGAAAAGGGAAAAAGUGGAUCGGGGCUUUGUCAAUAGAAGCAAAACUGCUUCGCUCUGAUACCAAGUUGGUGCCGAACCAGAUCUGGGAAGGAUGACUGCGGUGGUGAUGAAGUACUUUGGGAUUACCACUGUACGUUAUAGUUGUAAGAUGGAAAC